Molecule: long non-coding RNA, 946 nt
Organism: Spinacia oleracea (spinach)
Lineage: Eukaryota; Viridiplantae; Streptophyta; Magnoliopsida; Caryophyllales; Amaranthaceae
Exons: 2
Source: RefSeq, a predicted model, not a curated record
UAAUCGGGAUCCGGUGAGAACCACCCCUUAAGAUGAGAAAUGAGAACUAAUCCUAGCCCUUAGAUCAAUUCAAUCAACGGCCCUCAUCUUGCCUGAUCAAAUCAAAAAAUAUGGGUAAUAUGGUAACUUCACAUGCCUUGAAUGACCUCCCAUCUUUCUACCAAUUUCAGAUAUUCUUUCUCUCUCUUCCUUCCGGUUUCUCUGUCCUCUUCCACAUCCUCUCUACUUUGCAGAUUCACCUCUUCAACCUCGCCGAUUAACGUUCCUCGUGCAAAUCUCUUCGCAUCAUCUUCUUUCAAUUUUUUCCAGGUGUGCACAAAUUGGUGGUCUCCGGUGGCUGCUGAGAUGUUGUUGAAGGUCAGUAGAGGGUGAUAUGCUGUAGAUAUGCUUCCAAUUGCAGGUCAGUUGAGGGUGGCUGCAGGAAACUGUUGGGCGUUGUCCUGGUAUGUUUGGCUUCUCUUAGCAGUGGUGUGCUUGUGAUGUUGCAGCAUGGGGUAGUGGUUGUCACUAAAAGUAGGAGCUUUGUUAGGGGCAGUUACAUAUAUUCAUGUCGUUCACGGAAGAAGAAAGUUCAUGUAGCUUAGUUUAGGCAGAUCUUGCAGUGGCGAACUUCAGCAAGCUCUCGGUUACAACUCUUCCCGCUGCAGUCCCUUAUUACAAAUCUCCUUAGAUUAUUUUACUGAUGAGCGCAUGCCUGUGGUAUUCAUGGCUUUUAAACUACACUUCCUCCUGAUGUAUACUUGCAUAUUACUACGGUUCUUUUGCUCUUUUUUUUUUUUUGGCUUCUGUGAGAUUUGAAAGCUGUUGUGAUUCAUACUAGAUGUUGUGAAUUGAUAUCUAGUGUAGCAGGUUUGAUCAGUCUAGGUGUGUUGUUGCGUCUGUUUCUGUUCAGUUUAGUUGGCUUAAGACAGUUCUGAGAUGCUGAAUGUGAGUCUUAUCAGUUUUA